CUAGAAUGAUGAGUCACAAGAUAGGGACAACUGACUUUGAUUGAAGAGAAACGUCUUUUGCCAGUUUUAGUAGAACUUAGUGCACCUCUGACA
The sequence is a small nucleolar RNA, 93 nucleotides long. It matches the Rfam family "Small nucleolar RNA snR64". Rfam says of the family: snR64 is a member of the C/D class of snoRNA which contain the C (UGAUGA) and D (CUGA) box motifs. Most of the members of the box C/D family function in directing site-specific 2'-O-methylation of substrate RNAs.